UUAGGUUCAGCGGGUAUCCCUACCUGAUCCGAGGUCAACAUUACUGCUUUACACAGAAUGGGGGUCCAACAGCCUGGAUUCUGACCGGCCUACAAACUAAUUUAGCAUUACGAGAUACUCUGAAAGUCUGUCACCAUUGUCUACAUUUCCGGCCUAUUCAUUCCAGCAGAGUGGGGCCAGCACUGCCAGCCCUACCCACU
RNAcentral lists this unclassified non-coding RNA (200 nucleotides) under Tuber sp. Its description in RNAcentral is "partial internal transcribed spacer 2". The record is from RNAcentral. Lineage: Eukaryota; Fungi; Ascomycota; Pezizomycetes; Pezizales; Tuberaceae.